Molecule: non-coding RNA, 844 nt
Filed under: Ixodes scapularis (black-legged tick)
Lineage: Eukaryota; Metazoa; Arthropoda; Arachnida; Ixodida; Ixodidae
Description: bacterial SSU rRNA
Rfam family: Bacterial small subunit ribosomal RNA
Source: RNAcentral
UUAUUGGGUUUAAAGGGAGCGUAGGCUGGAGAUUAAGUGUGUUGUGAAAUGUAGACGCUCAACGUCUGACUUGCAGCGCAUACUGGUUUCCUUGAGUACGCACAACGUUGGCGGAAUUCGUCGUGUAGCGGUGAAAUGCUUAGAUAUGACGAAGAACUCCGAUUGCGAAGGCAGCUGACGGGAGCGCAACUGACGCUGAAGCUCGAAGGUGCGGGUAUCGAACAGGAUUAGAUACCCUGGUAGUCCGCACAGUAAACGAUGGAUGCCCGCUGUUGGUACCUGGUAUCAGCGGCUAAGCGAAAGCAUUAAGCAUCCCACCUGGGGAGUACGCCGGCAACGGUGAAACUCAAAGGAAUUGACGGGGGCCCGCACAAGCGGAGGAACAUGUGGUUUAAUUCGAUGAUACGCGAGGAACCUUACCCGGGCUUGAAUUGCAGAGGAAGGAUUUAGAGAUAAUGACGCCCUUCGGGGUCUCUGUGAAGGUGCUGCAUGGUUGUCGUCAGCUCGUGCCGUGAGGUGUCGGCUUAAGUGCCAUAACGAGCGCAACCCCUGUCUUUAGUUGCCAUCAGGUAAUGCUGGGCACUCUGGAGAUACUGCCACCGUAAGGUGUGAGGAAGGUGGGGAUGACGUCAAAUCAGCACGGCCCUUACGUCCGGGGCUACACACGUGUUACAAUGGCCGGUACAGAGGGACGGUGUAAUGUAAAUUGCAUCCAAUCUUGAAAGCCGGUCCCAGUUCGGACUGGGGUCUGCAACCCGACCCCACGAAGCUGGAUUCGCUAGUAAUCGCGCAUCAGCCAUGGCGCGGUGAAUACGUUCCCGGGCCUUGUACACACCGCCCGUCA